This 399-nucleotide ribosomal RNA is filed under the name Mesotaenium berggrenii. Its description in RNAcentral is "partial small subunit ribosomal RNA". It matches the Rfam family "Eukaryotic small subunit ribosomal RNA", at positions 30 to 432 of the family's 1831-position model. Lineage: Eukaryota; Viridiplantae; Streptophyta; Zygnematophyceae; Zygnematales; Mesotaeniaceae. The record is from RNAcentral.
GCUUGUCUCAAAGAUUAAGCCAUGCAUGUCUAAGUAUAAACAAAUCUAUACUGUGAAACUGCGAAUGGCUCAUUAUAUCAGUUAUAGUUUAUUUGAUGGUUCUUGCUACUUGGAUAACCGUAGUAAUUCUAGAGCUAAUACAUGCAUCAAACCCCGACUUCUGGAAGGGGUGUAUUUAUUAGAUGGAAACCAAUGCGGGGCAACCCGGAUUCUGGUGAUUCAUAAUAACUCCUCGAAUCGCAUGGCCUUGCGCCGGCGAUGUUUCAUUCAAAUUUCUGCCCUAUCAAUUUGAUGGUAGGAUAGAGGCCUACCAUGGUGGUAACGGGUGACGGAGAAUUAGGGUUCGAUUCCGGAGAGGGAGCCUGAGAAACGGCUACCACAUCCAAGGAAGGCAGCAGG